RNAcentral lists this ribosomal RNA (681 nucleotides) under Thalassionema nitzschioides. RNAcentral's name for it is "partial Bacterial large subunit ribosomal RNA". It matches the Rfam family "Bacterial large subunit ribosomal RNA", at positions 440 to 1130 of the family's 2925-position model. The record is from RNAcentral. Lineage: Eukaryota; Bacillariophyta; Fragilariophyceae; Thalassionematales; Thalassionemataceae.
AAGGUUGGGGUACCAUCCCUCAAAGUCUAAAAUUUUUAAUAUUUGAUAGUGUAAUAGUACUGUGAAGGAAAGGUGAAAUAGAAUCCGAGGAUUUGAAAAGAUUUUGAAAUUUAAUGUUAACAAUCUGUUGAAGCUUUUUAAAAGUGACAGCGUACCUUUUGUAUAAUGGAUCAACAACUUUAUUAAAGUGGCGAGCUUAAACAGUCAAUGUGUAGGCUUAAAAAAAUUAAGUUUUAAAAUGCAUUUAAGUCUCUUUAAUAAGACCCGAAACUAAGUGAUCUAUUCAUGAACAGGUUGAAUUUAAGGCGUAAGCCUAUUGGAAGACCGAACCUGUGUGUGUGGCAAAAUACUUGGAUGAUUUGUGAAUAGGGGUGAAAGGCCAAUCAAACUUAGAAAUAGCUGGUUUUCUGCGAAAUCUAUUUAAGUAGAACGUUUAAAAACAUUAUUUUGGGGUAGAGCUCUUAAUAAAUGAUGGGGAGGAAAAAUCUUACUGAAUUUACUAAAACUUCGAAUACAUAAUAAUAGGUUUUUAAGCAGACAGACUAUAAGUGCUAAGAUUUAUAGUCGAAAGGGAAACAGCCCAGAUUAAUUGUUAAGGUUCUUAAAAAUAAUUAAGUGCGAAAAAAAAGAAAAAUAAAAACAACCGAAAAGUAGGCUUGGAAGCAGCCAUCUUUUAAAGAA